Asparagus officinalis (garden asparagus) is the source of this 824-nucleotide long non-coding RNA. RefSeq lists it as uncharacterized. The transcript is spliced from 2 exons. Lineage: Eukaryota; Viridiplantae; Streptophyta; Magnoliopsida; Asparagales; Asparagaceae. The record is from RefSeq and is a predicted model, not a curated record.
GCCCCAAACCCAAUCCUCACAUCAGUCCGUUUGCAAGCUGGUAGCUCCUGAUCAUCACAAGGAAACUAAUUAAUCGGAAACGCAGCACUGCACAGCCCUGCAACGCUCAGCGCAUUCCGUGUAUAGCAAUAAAGCCAAGCUAGCUGUGCACUAGUCCACCCAUCAAAUUAUAACGUACACGUGCAUUUAAACUCAAUAGCCAGCUCUCAUACGCCAAACUGCAAACCCUUUCAAAAUCUUGUGCAGCCUCGACCCCUUCGUUGAGUCGACGAAGCAUAUGGAUGCUGAGGAUCAAAAGGUCGGCUCUGUCGAUGAGGAGGAAGAGUUUAGUGAGGAGAGGGUGAGGAUGAAGUUGAGGGUUUUGGCUACGAUGGUUGGAGUCGAAGAAUGCAGCGAGCCGGCGGCGGUGCUGGCGGAGGUUGUGAGGGUUAUUAGGGAGUUGGACGAGAGGGCAAAGAGAAGGUUUUCUUGGUGUCAGAAGGCGGUACUUUGAGAGAUGGGGUGGGCAAUUGGUCGUCACUUGUGUGUUUGUAAAAUUGGGUUACUUCGCUAAGCAGGGGCUUUUGUGCGCGCGCGCCCGUGUUUUCCUUUUUUUCUUUUUUCCUUUUUAAUGUCCUUGGUGAAAUAUGAAUGUUAAAAGGGAAAAUAAAAAUUCUCUCUUUUUUUUUCAUUUUUUGGACAUUUUUCGCGACGGAUGAUUUUUUAAGGAUCAGAUUCAUUUGUCCGUGUGGUGGUCCGAAGGAAUAAGUAUUCUUGAACGAGCACGUUCAUGCGUAAGCUCUCAUGUUUCGUACUGAUUUAACGAGGAUUUUUGACAUUUAAAA